This 449-nucleotide ribosomal RNA is filed under the name uncultured bacterium. RNAcentral describes it as "partial 16S ribosomal RNA". It matches the Rfam family "Bacterial small subunit ribosomal RNA", at positions 354 to 796 of the family's 1533-position model. The record is from RNAcentral.
GUGGGGAAUCUUCCGCAAUGGACGAAAGUCUGACGGAGCAACGCCGCGUGAGUGAUGAAGGCCUUCGGGUCGUAAAGCUCUGUCGUCGGGGACGAACGGCCGCCUCAGGGAAUGGGGGCGGAGUGACGGUACCCGAGAAGGAAGCCACGGCUAACUACGUGCCAGCAGCCGCGGUAAUACGUAGGUGGCAAGCGUUGUCCGGAAUUAUUGGGCGUAAAGCGCGCGCAGGUGGGAUUUUAAGUCCAUUUUGAAAGUUCGGAGCUUAACUCCGUGAUGGGAUGGAAACUGGGAUUCUUGAGUACCGGAGAGGAAAGCGGAAUUCCCCGUGUAGCGGUGAAAUGCGUAGAUAUGGGGAGGAACACCAGUGGCGAAGGCGGCUUUCUGGACGGUGUCUGACACUGAGGCGCGAAAGCCAGGGGAGCGAACGGGAUUAGAAACCCUUGUAGUCC